This 545-nucleotide long non-coding RNA is filed under the name Glycine max (soybean). RNAcentral describes it as "long non-coding RNA (GMAX_LNC003175)". Lineage: Eukaryota; Viridiplantae; Streptophyta; Magnoliopsida; Fabales; Fabaceae. The record is from RNAcentral.
GCAGUUUUAUUUUAAAAAUUAAAAAAAUGAGGUUCUUAUGGUGUUCCAAGUCGAACCUCGCCUAUUAGUCCAACCUGGGCAUAACCCAAAAUCGUGGUGUUCCACGAUGCAAUAAUAUCCUUCAUUGGCCUGUAAAAGAAACCACGGGAACUGUGCACUGUUAUACAAAACAGUAUUCGGUUGGGGAAUUUUCUCAAAUAGUUGGUAUGCAUGAUUAGUAGUGGAGCCUCCCCUUCAACCGCUGCCAAAGGCACAAGAAGAGCAGCAACAACAACGAUUUCUCAGUGAAACACACCCACAGUCUGAUAACCAUUGCGACAAAGGCUAUGAUGGAGUGUUUCUGUAUGAGUCAAUGUGUUUAUGUGGCUACCAACAACGUUGCGACAAAGGCGCCCAUGGAGAGCUUCUUCUUUUGCAUGGUGUUCACCGGUGAAUUGGAAGGCGAGGACAGCGCUAGCGCCAACGCCAGGAACAAGGGGUUGCACGCCUUCCAUGGCGGUCCAAAAAAUCUUGGUUUCUGACGAGAACCAGAUUCCUACAACUCU